Molecule: long non-coding RNA, 1609 nt
Organism: Rosa rugosa (rugosa rose)
Lineage: Eukaryota; Viridiplantae; Streptophyta; Magnoliopsida; Rosales; Rosaceae
Exons: 5
Source: RefSeq, a predicted model, not a curated record
UUACAUGGAGAUUACCCUUGUGGCUGUCACCGAACCAAGUUAGUCUCUACCUUAUAAGUGCACUUAAUCUUCCUCUCUCUCCGAUACUUAUCUUCCGGUCAAUCUUUCAUACCCGGCAACUUCUUCCGACUCCAAAUUUUAUGCCCCGCUCUGUUCCCAACGUUUUCUCUAGCAAAGAUUGCGCCUUUCACCUUCCCCUAAAAAUCCAAUCUUAGGGUUAAGAUUUCCAUUCCCAAUUUCUCCCAAACCAAAAUCCAACCACAAUCUCCGUGAACCAUCACCAAGGGGAAGAACGAUUUCCUCACGCCCAAAGCCAUGGGACUUCAGAAGCUCCGGUGGGACUGCCAUACGUGCGAGAAGCAAUGCCGCGAUGAGAACAGCUUCAAAUGUCACUGCUUGAGCGAGAGCCACCAGCGCCAUCGAGGAGUGUACAGUAGAGAGUUGGAGCUGUUUCCAGCGACUUUGAUUAGCCCUCGGUUCGCUUCACCGACUCUUCCUUCAACUGUUCUGUGCCGCCGAGAGCCGUCAUUAAGAAAACUUUGGUGCUGGAAAGCUCACCGCGGCCAAGGAAGAUCCCUGCUGUUACAAAGAGCAAAAACUGCAGCUUGAAUCUGGAGAACAAUAGACAGUUUGAGUAACAUUGAAGCAUAGAUAACCUUCUGUCAUAACUGAACCUGGAGCUCAAGAAGCAUGGUCAUGAGCCCGAUCCUAUUCAGUUUUUUUACGAUAAGCAUACACGGAAUGACAAAGAAAAAACCUGGAUUUAUGAAGUUGCUGAGCGGACACAUGCUGGUAUGCAAGAGAAGUUGGCAGAAAUUGUAGCAGUUGAAGGUAAUGAGACUACAGAGAUGCGAGAAAGAGCAUAUGUUGCAGUGAUGGGACCUGAGAAACGUCACAGAGUUUGCGGUUAUGGACUAGGUGUAAUACCUGAUAUGGUGCCUUAUCUUCAAAUUGAUGGUAGCUCAUCAUCACACAGAUCACAUGGAAGACAUUAUGCUCACUUGCAGUCACAAUUAAUUUAUGGAGUUAGAGUCCAAGUACCAACAACAACAAGAGCAAGCACAGGUGCAGCAAGUUCAAACUCAGGAACGACUCUUGCAAACCCAACAAGAAUUGGCAAUGUUAAAGCAAAUGAUGCAAUCCCAGCAAUCUACUCCACCUUCACAACAAUCUUCUCAGCCUUUGCAGCAACCAUCCUUCUAGAUGCCUUCUUAUCCUCGUCAAAUGUACUGGCCUCAACCGCAGAUCUAUCCUCAAAUGCCUUAUCAGCCUAAACAUGCUUAUCCUACCACUGGACUAACUGGAUUGCUUAUGGGAGAUACAAGUGUCCAAGAAACUGAUUUGUUGAACCAGCUUAGAGCUUCAUCAAAUCAAAGCUCUCGUGGAUCUGAGCAAUAGACUUUUAUUAUUUCCCUUAUUGAUCAUUAGAUGCUAAUUGAUAGGCAUUUGACUAGAUGAAUUUGUGACUUUUUUAGUAACAAGUAUUUUGUAGACUUGAUUUUAAGUUGCAUCAGUAAAGAUUUGUUGAACAGGAAAUAAAUUUAUAUUAUAUUUUGUUGUCCAGAAAAAAUUUAUAUAUAUAAUUUAUAUACGUCGUUAGUUAUAGAUG